GAUGAACGCUGGCGGCGUGCCUAAUACAUGCAAGUCGAGCGAACCGACGAGGAGCUUGCUCCUCUGACGUUAGCGGCGGACGGGUGAGUAACACGUGGAUAACCUACCUAUAAGACAGGGAUAACUUCGGGAAACCGGAGCUAAUACCGGAUAAUAUAUUGACCCGCAUGGUUCAAUAGUGAAAGACGGUUUUGCUGUCACUUAUAGAUGGAUCCGCGCCGCAUUAGCUAGUUGGUAAGGUAACGGCUUACCAAGGCGACGAAGCGUAGCCGACCUGAGAGGGGGGUCGAGCAGCCGGGAACUGAGGCACGGUCCAGACACCUGCGGGGGGCAGCAGUAGGGAAUCUUACGCAAUGGGCGAAAGCCUGACGGAGCAACGCCGCGGGAGUGAUGAAGGUCUCCGGAUCGUAAAACGCUGUUAGUAGGGAAGAACAAAUGUGUAAGUAACGAGGCACGUCUUGACGGUACCUGAUCAGGAAGCCACGGCUAACUACGUG
This 497-nucleotide ribosomal RNA is filed under the name uncultured bacterium. RNAcentral's name for it is "partial 16S ribosomal RNA". It matches the Rfam family "Bacterial small subunit ribosomal RNA", at positions 28 to 507 of the family's 1533-position model. The record is from RNAcentral.